RNAcentral lists this unclassified non-coding RNA (324 nucleotides) under soil metagenome. RNAcentral describes it as "partial contains 5.8S ribosomal RNA, internal transcribed spacer 2, and large subunit ribosomal RNA". The stretch from base 1 to 120 matches the Rfam family "5.8S ribosomal RNA", at positions 35 to 154 of the family's 154-position model. The record is from RNAcentral.
GAUGAAGAACGCAGCGAAAUGCGAUAAGUAGUGUGAAUUGCAGAAUUCAGUGAAUCAUCGAAUCUUUGAACGCACAUUGCGCCCCUUGGUAUUCCAUGGGGCAUACCUGUUCGAGCGUCAUUUGUACCUUCAAGCUUUGCUUGGUGUUGGGUGUUUGUCCCGAGGGACUCGCCUUAAAGUAAUUGGCAGCCAGUGUUUGGUUUUGAAGCGCAGCACAAGUCGCGAUUCAAGGCUACACGCCCGCUUCCACAAGCCUUUUUUCACUUUUGACCUCGGAUCAGGUAGGGAUACCCGCUGAACUUAAGCAUAUCAAUAAGCGGAGGA